This 219-nucleotide non-coding RNA is filed under the name Solanum lycopersicum (tomato). RNAcentral describes it as "Bacterial large subunit ribosomal RNA". It matches the Rfam family "Bacterial large subunit ribosomal RNA", at positions 629 to 852 of the family's 2925-position model. The record is from Rfam by way of RNAcentral. Lineage: Eukaryota; Viridiplantae; Streptophyta; Magnoliopsida; Solanales; Solanaceae.
CAUAGGCAGUGGCUUGGUUAAGGGAACACACCGUAGUCGUAGUUAAAGCGAGUAUUCAGAGGGAAAUAUUCACUACUUAUCGUCCUAAACUUGGGUAAUCUAUCCACGAUCGGGAUGAAGCUUGGGUAAACUAAGUAGAGGUCCGACCAACUAAUGUUGAAGAAUCUGCGGGUGAGUUCUGGUUAGGAUGAAAUGUCACUAGCACCCAAAGCUAGGUGG